UGGGGAAUAUUGGACAAUGGGCGCAAGCCUGAUCCAGCCAUACCGCGUGGGUGAAGAAGGCCUUCGGGUUGUAAAGCCCUUUUGUUGGGAAAGAAAUCCAGCUGGUUAAUACCCGGUUGGGAUGACGGUACCCAAAGAAUAAGCACCGGCUAACUUCGUGCCAGCAGCCGCGGUAAUACGAAGGGUGCAAGCGUUACUCGGAAUUACUGGGCGUAAAGCGUGCGUAGGUGGUCGUUUAAGUCUGUUGUGAAAGCCCUGGGCUCAACCUGGGAACUGCAGUGGAAACUGGACGACUAGAGUGUGGUAGAGGGUAGCGGAAUUCCUGGUGUAGCAGUGAAAUGCGUAGAGAUCAGGAGGAACAUCCAUGGCGAAGGCAGCUACCUGGACCGACACUGACACUGAGGCACGAAAGCGUGGGGAGCAAACAGGAUUAGAUACCCUGGUAGUCCACGCCCUAAACGAUGCGAACUGGAUGUUGGGUGCAAUUUGGCACGCAGUAUCGAAGCUAACGCGUUAAGUUCGCCGCCUGGGGAGUACGGUCGCAAGACUGAAACUCAAAGGAAUUGAC
RNAcentral lists this ribosomal RNA (568 nucleotides) under uncultured bacterium. RNAcentral's name for it is "partial 16S ribosomal RNA". It matches the Rfam family "Bacterial small subunit ribosomal RNA", at positions 355 to 914 of the family's 1533-position model. The record is from RNAcentral.